UCCGUAGGUGGUCGUUUAAGUCUGUUGUGAAAGCCCUGGGCUCAACCUGGGAACUGCAGUGGAAACUGGACGACUAGAGUGUGGUAGAGGGUAGCGGAAUUCCUGGUGUAGCAGUGAAAUGCGUAGAGAUCAGGAGGAACAUCCAUGGCGAAGGCAGCUACCUGGACCAACAUUGACACUGAGGCACGAAAGCGUGGGGAGCAAACA
Molecule: ribosomal RNA, 207 nt
Filed under: uncultured bacterium
Lineage: Bacteria
Description: partial 16S ribosomal RNA
Rfam family: Bacterial small subunit ribosomal RNA
Source: RNAcentral